CCAUGAAGCUGGAUUCGCUAGUAAUCGCGCAUCAGCCACGGCGCGGUGAAUACGUUCCCGGGCCUUGUACACACCGCCCGUCAAGCCAUGGAAGCCGGGGGUGCCUGAAGUGCGUGACCGCAAGGAGCGCCCUAGGGUAAAACCGGUGACUGGGCUAAGUCGUAACAAGGUAGC
Molecule: ribosomal RNA, 174 nt
Filed under: uncultured bacterium
Lineage: Bacteria
Description: partial 16S ribosomal RNA
Rfam family: Bacterial small subunit ribosomal RNA
Source: RNAcentral